UCGAUAACUUAAGGUGGAAAU
Non-coding RNA from Caenorhabditis elegans, 21 nucleotides. Lineage: Eukaryota; Metazoa; Nematoda; Chromadorea; Rhabditida; Rhabditidae. The record is from Ensembl.